UCUUUCUCUCUCUUAAUUUUUUGUUCAGUCUCUUGACUAUCUCUCUCUUCCCUCUCAUCGAUAACGUUUCUUGUUGAAUGUUGGGUUUAUAAUUUUUAAAAGGUUGGCAUCCGUAGGUAGAGAGGUAAGGUGCACCAUUAAAUUUUAUCUUAGUAUAUAAUUUUGAUGUAAAAUAUUUUUAAGAUUAUUUUAAAAUUUAUUUUUAUAUUUAAGUAUAAAAUUUUUUAUUUUAAAAAUAAUAAAAUUAAACAGAUUUAAAAACAUAAAAAAAUCUUGAUCAUAAUCGGUGUAAAAAAUAUAUUGUACAACGCUUCAAUUUUUUUUAUUUUUUAUAGUCAUAUGUGUUGAUGUCGAGGGAUUUUCAACAUUAAAUCCACCUUUUUAUAUGGAAUGGAUUUAUUUUGAGGGAGAUCCGUAGUUCUACAUCAUAAGGUGGCGUUGUUAUGUAAACUUUUUCUUUGGGUUGGUAUCUACUUUUUCUCUCUCUUAGUUUUUGUCUUUUGACUCAGUCUCUCUCUUCACUGCUGUACAUUUCUCUCUCAAGUUUUUGCACCUCCGUGUCCUGAUUUUUGUUCCUCUCAGCUUUUGUUGUUGAGGAUGUGAAUAUAUGUUUCUUCUCGCUUUUGAGUACUCCCCCUCUCUCUCUCUCUCUCUCUUCUCUUU
RNAcentral lists this long non-coding RNA (663 nucleotides) under Amborella trichopoda. RNAcentral describes it as "long non-coding RNA (ATRI_LNC001556)". The record is from RNAcentral. Lineage: Eukaryota; Viridiplantae; Streptophyta; Magnoliopsida; Amborellales; Amborellaceae.